Molecule: non-coding RNA, 30 nt
Filed under: Homo sapiens (human)
Lineage: Eukaryota; Metazoa; Chordata; Mammalia; Primates; Hominidae
Source: RNAcentral
GCUUUGUUGUAGGAAAAUGAACAGAAAUGC